UACGAAGGGGGCUAGCGUUGCUCGGAAUCACUGGGCGUAAAGGGUGCGUAGGCGGGGCUUUAAGUCAGGGGGGAAAUCCUGGAGCUCAACUCCAGAACUGCCUUUGAUACUGAAGAUCUUGAGUUCGGGAGAGGUGAGUGGAACUGCGAGUGUAGAGGUGAAAUUCGUAGAUAUUCGCAAGAACACCAGUGGCGAAGGCGGCUCACUAAAUUGUAACUGACGCUGAGGCACGAAAGCGUGGGGAUCAAACAGG
RNAcentral lists this ribosomal RNA (253 nucleotides) under uncultured bacterium. Its description in RNAcentral is "partial 16S ribosomal RNA". It matches the Rfam family "Bacterial small subunit ribosomal RNA", at positions 524 to 776 of the family's 1533-position model. The record is from RNAcentral.